AGCGCGCCCCGCGACUGGCGCUGAAGAUGGAAUCCCAUCGGGAAGCGGGGCCGGCCGGCAGGCUGUCUUGAGCCGCGCGCCUGGGUGAUCCAU
This 93-nucleotide non-coding RNA is filed under the name Sphingopyxis sp. Its description in RNAcentral is "ZTP sequence". It matches the Rfam family "ZMP/ZTP riboswitch aptamer (pfl RNA motif)". Rfam says of the family: Previously known as pfl RNA. Lineage: Bacteria; Pseudomonadati; Pseudomonadota; Alphaproteobacteria; Sphingomonadales; Sphingopyxidaceae. The record is from RNAcentral.